GCACGAAUGGUUCAGGGGUAGAAUACUUGCUUCCCAAGCAAGUGAUCCGAGUUCGAGUCUCGGUUCGUGCA
This is a transfer RNA of 71 nucleotides. It matches the Rfam family "tRNA". From Rfam's summary of the family: Transfer RNA (tRNA) molecules are approximately 80 nucleotides in length. Their secondary structure includes four short double-helical elements and three loops (D, anti-codon, and T loops). The record is from Rfam.